CCCUUAGAUGUUCUGGGCCGCACGCGCGCUACACUGAUGCAUUCAACGAGUCUAAAACCUGCUCUGAUAGGGGUGGGUAAUCUUUUGAAUGUGCAUCGUGAUUGGGAUAGAAGAUUGCAAUUUUUCAUCUUCAACGAGGAAUGCCUAGUAAACGCAAGUCAUCAGCUUGCAUUGAUUACGUCCCUGCCCUUUGUACACACCGCCCGUCGCUCCUACCGAUUGAAUGAUCCGAUGAAUAUCAUGGAUUGAGGAUGCAAGUAGGUUCGCCUAUCUUCAUCUUCGAGAAGUGAAGUAAAUCUUAUCAUUUAGAGGAAGGAGAAGUCGUAACA
This 329-nucleotide ribosomal RNA is filed under the name uncultured eukaryote. Its description in RNAcentral is "partial 18S ribosomal RNA". It matches the Rfam family "Eukaryotic small subunit ribosomal RNA", at positions 1470 to 1796 of the family's 1831-position model. The record is from RNAcentral.